UGGGGAAUAUUGCACAAUGGGCGCAAGCCUGAUGCAGCCAUGCCGCGUGUGUGAAGAAGGCCUUCGGGUUGUAAAGCACUUUCAGCGGGGAGGAAGGCGAUAAGGUUAAUAACCUUGUCGAUUGACGUUACCCGCAGAAGAAGCACCGGCUAACUCCGUGCCAGCAGCCGCGGUAAUACGGAGGGUGCAAGCGUUAAUCGGAAUUACUGGGCGUAAGGCGCACGCAGGCGGUCUGUCAAGUCGGAUGUGAAAUCCCAGGGCUUAACCUGGGAACUGCAUUCGAAUCUGGCAGGCUAGAGUAGUGUAGAGGGGGGUAGAAUUCCAGGUGUAGCGGUGAAAUGCGUAGAGAUCUGGAGGAAUACCGGCGGCGAAGGCGGCCCCCUGGACAAAGACUGACGCUCAGGUGCGAAAGCGUGGGGAGCAAACAGG
This 429-nucleotide ribosomal RNA is filed under the name Chloroflexota bacterium. Its description in RNAcentral is "Chloroflexi bacterium partial 16S ribosomal RNA". It matches the Rfam family "Bacterial small subunit ribosomal RNA", at positions 355 to 776 of the family's 1533-position model. The record is from RNAcentral. Lineage: Bacteria; Bacillati; Chloroflexota.